RNAcentral lists this ribosomal RNA (253 nucleotides) under uncultured bacterium. RNAcentral describes it as "partial 16S ribosomal RNA". It matches the Rfam family "Bacterial small subunit ribosomal RNA", at positions 524 to 776 of the family's 1533-position model. The record is from RNAcentral.
UACGGGGGGGGCAAGCGUUGUUCGGAAUUACUGGGCGUAAAGGGCUCGUAGGCGGCCAACUAAGUCAGACGUGAAAUCCCUCGGCUUAACCGGGGAACUGCGUCUGAUACUGGAUGGCUUGAGUGUGGGAGAGGAAUGCGGAAUUCCAGGUGUAGCGGUGAAAUGCGUAGAUAUCUGGAGGAACACCGGUGGCGAAGGCGGCAUUCUGGACCAUUACUGACGCCGAGGAGCGAAAGCCAGGGGAGCAAACGGG